This 272-nucleotide ribosomal RNA is filed under the name uncultured Lachnospiraceae bacterium. Its description in RNAcentral is "partial 16S ribosomal RNA". It matches the Rfam family "Bacterial small subunit ribosomal RNA", at positions 65 to 339 of the family's 1533-position model. Lineage: Bacteria; Bacillati; Bacillota; Clostridia; Lachnospirales; Lachnospiraceae. The record is from RNAcentral.
AGUGAGUAGCUUGCUAUGAGCUGUUUUAGCGGCGGACGGGUGAGUAACGCGUGGGUAACCUGCCUCGUACUGGGGGAUAACAGUUGGAAACAGCUGCUAAUACCGCAUAAGACCACGGAGCCGCAUGGCUCAGUGUGAAAAACUCCGGUGGUACAAGAUGGACCCGCGUCUGAUUAGCUGGUUGGUGAGGUAACGGCCCACCAAGGCGACGAUCAGUAGCCGGCCUGAGAGGGUGAACGGCCACAUUGGGACUGAGACACGGCCCAAACUCC